This is a long non-coding RNA of Lagenorhynchus albirostris (white-beaked dolphin), 1772 nucleotides long. RefSeq lists it as uncharacterized. The record is from RefSeq and is a predicted model, not a curated record. The transcript is spliced from 2 exons. Lineage: Eukaryota; Metazoa; Chordata; Mammalia; Artiodactyla; Delphinidae.
AGGACACAGUGAGAAGGCGGCUGUCUGCAAGCCAAGGAGAGAGGCCUCAGGAGGAACCAACCCUGCUGAGACCUGGAUCUCAGACUUCCGGACCUGAACUUUUCUUUUCUAGAAGUCUAUUUUGCUCUGGGGAGCACAGCCGGGGGUGCUCAGCUUUUCACAUGGUGACCUGGUGUUUCAGACGACCCGGACUCAAGGCUGACAGUUCUUCAAGACGAGUCUAGGUCUUCAUACUCUUAUAAGAAUGCUAAAUUCAUUAGUUUGUACCAUCACUGAAUGCAACAAGUGCGUGGCAAGCUUGUCUCCCCUCUAACCUGUUUUAUCCGACUAGAAACUUCUGAACAAAAUCAAGAGGACUGUAAAAUUCCAGCUGCUACUGCACAGCACUCCCAACCCUGGGGGACACUCAGGGGACAGGGUGUGUCCUCACGUCUUCAGGCCACCCUGCCAGGGCUGGCCAAGCCCCUUAAGGACCAGCCUUCGCCCCGAUUCCUGCACGCUGUUGUCAUGGCUGCAUCUGCCACACAGCAUUCCGGCCGGGGACCAGCCUCAUGUAUGUCACAGGAGGUCGUGGAGAGGACGUGACCACUGGUUGACCAUCGAGCUGGACCCGGGCAAUGGGAGGCUCCUCGCUCCCUCCCGUCCUUGGGAUGUACGUCUGCCCACAGUUCCUGCACUAGGAACCUCUUCAAGGACUUCUCAACUUGACUUUGCAACUAUAAUUACAACAACUUACCAGGCAUUUUGAGCUAUGUUAAUCUGGCAGAUGACUUGACAUUACUUCUUUUGCUUUAUUGUGAAAUACAAUGCACAGGUCAUAAGGUUAAUUGAACAGUUAAUUAUAAAGCAUGCACCGUGGGACCCAGGUCAAGACAGCAAGUCUGCUGUGCACAGGAAGCUGCCUCUGCUCCAUGUGACUCCCCCUGGUCACAGCCCCUUCCUCUUGUCUCCCCACAGGUAACAACUCUUCUAACUUUGUGAAAAUUUCCUUGCUUUUCUCUGUGGUUUUACCCUUCUGCUAUAAUCGUAAGCAGUACAGUUUGCUUCAGGCUGAUUUUGAGAUUUCCAUAAAUGAAAUAAUGUUGAAAUGUCGUCUUCUGAAUCCGGCUUCUCUUGCUCAACUUAUGUUUUGUAGCUUCAUCCAUGCUGUGAAUGCAGCAACAACGUGUCCAUGUUUGUUACUAUAUAGUAUUCCAUUGGAUGGAUAUAUCGUGAUUUAUGUCCCCAUUCUGCUGUCGCUGAUUUUGGGGGCUCACCGAGAAAGGUACCUCCAGCAUUCCUAUAGAUGUCAGGAUGUACAAUGUGAAUGCACUUCUCUAGGAGAAGGUUGCUGGGUCAACAUUCUUAAACAACUGAACUUGAAUAAUGAUCACCAAACUAUUUUGCAAAGUACUUUUCUCAGUUUGUAAUCCCCCCAGGAGUGAGAGAAGCCCAGUGGGUCUACGUUCUUGGCAACACUUUGAAUUGCAGAAUUUUCAAAGUUUUUGGCAAUGUGAGUGGAAGAGAUCUCAUUAUGUUUUAAGCUUGUAAGUUUGUAUUUAACACCUUUGUAUGCAUGUAUAAGCCAUUUCGAUUUCCUCUUUUAAAGUGUUUAUUCAAAUUGUUUGCUUGGGGUUUUUUAAUGUGUUUUUAAUGUGCUUUGUAAAAGUUAUACACAAACACGAUAACCGUCUGUCCAUUGUAUGCCUUUCAAUUCUCUUUUGGUUGUGUGGCUUGUCUUUUUAACUGUCUUAAUGUUGUCUUGGUAAUAAAGAGAAAUUAUUAUUUUUAAA